Diorhabda carinulata is the source of this 1486-nucleotide RNA transcript. It is a transcript of the gene named telomerase Cajal body protein 1 homolog, with no coding region annotated. The record is from RefSeq and is a predicted model, not a curated record. The transcript has 6 exons. Lineage: Eukaryota; Metazoa; Arthropoda; Insecta; Coleoptera; Chrysomelidae.
ACAGUUUAUCAGCUUGGAAAUUGUAAUUGGAAAGAAAAAGUUAAAAAUUGUUUAUAUUUUAAUUUUUUUUCUUUUCAUUGCGAAUUUUGAAGUUAUGCUAAGUGUGACGCUUCUUUAAUGAGUUUAUCAUAAUAAUUUAAGUAUAGUCCAGUUCUAAUUUGAUUGUGUAGGUACUAUAAAGGAUUAAAUAUGAGUGAGGCAGUGUAUGAAAGUGAUUCUGUUUCUUAUACAAAUUUCCAAUAUGCAGAAUACAAUUUUGAAAAUUCUACUUUAGAGUUAGCCAGAGCACAAUGGCCUAAUUACGAUGAUCAACAUUACCUUAAAGGAUGCAAAUGGUCGCCAGAUGGGACUUGUCUACUUACAGUAGUUAGGGGAGCUGGAAUGCAUGUCAUGGAACUACCCAGUGAUUUAUAUACAGGUGACAGUAUUCCUAGCAGCCGACCCAUUGUACCUUUAAUUCCAGCAGUUAGUGUCCCUGAAGCAGGACUUAUUUAUGAUUAUUGUUGGUAUCCUGGUAUGAAUAGUGGUAAUCCAGCUACAUGCUGUUGGUUAUCUAGUGGCCAUGGCGGUCCCAUACAUCUGUGGGAUGCAUUUACCGGCGAUUUAAGAUGCACUUACAGAGGCUAUAACAACCAAGAUGAAUUAGAACCUGCUAUGAGUGUUUCAUUUUCUGCAGACGGCCAGAACAUAUUUUGUGGAUAUAAGAAAAACGUUAAAAUAUUCGCUACAGGCAGACCUGGUAGAGAAUAUGUUGAAUACCCCGUACCUCACCAAGUGUCUUGUCUCGUAGCUAGUCAAGCGCAACCUGGAGUAGUAGCUAUAGGAACAUGGAAGAAUACAAUUGAUCUUGUAUCUCAAAGUGAUGGCUCAUUUCGACAUCUUUGCAAGUUAAAUGGCCACAAAGGGGGUAUCACAACGAUGACUUUCUCUCUUGAUGGUUUCCGUUUAUACAGUGGUGCUAGAAAAGACAAAGAAAUUAUCUGCUGGGAUUUACGUGUUCCAGGGAGACCAAUGUUUUGUUUAUAUCGUGAAGUCAACACCAACCAGAAGAUAAAUAUAGACCUAAGUGUAGAUGGUAAAUGGUUGGUAUCUGGAGGGACAGAUGGUAAGGUACAAGUGUGGAAUGUCACUGAGCAAACUUAUCCUUCAGUGCAUAUGCAAGCUGUAUUAUUGUCACCGUUUCCUCUAACCAAGGAUUUACAUCCAGGAUAAUUCGUUUUUGUUUGUUGCUUCUUAAACAAAAAUCACUUUUAUCUGUAAACAUAAGUAUGCCAGAGGAGUACCUACUGAUAUUUUUUCUCGAUAUCAAGCAUUGAUGGCGUUACAUACUGAUUGCUGCAACGGAGUAAGCCUACAUCCUUACCGACCCAUUUUGGCGACUGCUUCAGGUCAACAUCAUACUUUGGAUCCGUUACAUCACACUAGAAAUUCUUUGCAAUACGAAAAUGCUUUGUCUAUGUGGUGGAUAGGAGCACAACAAGAAGAU